This 709-nucleotide long non-coding RNA is filed under the name Setaria viridis. RNAcentral describes it as "long non-coding RNA (SVIR_LNC000056)". The record is from RNAcentral. Lineage: Eukaryota; Viridiplantae; Streptophyta; Magnoliopsida; Poales; Poaceae.
GCCGAUACGGCGAGCUAAAAGCUACAGUUGGGAUUCGACCGACUAGAGCUACAGUGUUUCGGCUGAUUGGCAAAAGGAGUCAGCAAGGAUUGGCCGAUUGGGAGCUGGGGCAGCUUGGCCAGUAUGGGCCUAGAGUGGGCCAGAGAAAAGAGUAGCUAAAAACGAAAGUUGGCCCGUGAGAUAUGAUAACCAACUCCGAUACGAGUUGUGUUUGUAAAUCUUUAUUGUUAUUCAAAAUUAGAGAUAGAUCCUAGUCGGUUAGGAAAUCAGUUGUAACAGGCUAUAAAUAGCCACCUCUUGAGGAUUUGUAAGACACACAUCAAUCAAUACAACAAAUCUACUUAUUCCUCGCACUUUACUUUCAAGUCGGCGACUUCGCCAAAAACCUUUUCUUUUCACGAGUUCGUACGGGUUGGCAGGACUGCAUUGACACGAUCUCCGGCCGAUUUGUAAGUUUCGUUUAUUGAGUAAUAUCUAAGCUUUAACUUCGGGCACAUCGUUGUCGUUUUGUUUAGAUUUAUUCACCAGUUAUCGAUAUUUACUAGAAUUAUAGGUUUUAUCUAUUGUUCUAGUUUUAUCACCAGUUAUCCAGCUUGAGAUUCGAACUGUCGGCCUCAUCACUGUUAUUCUUAUUUAUCGCCAUAUAGCCGAUUAGAUCUGUUUCAAGUGUUGCAUUUGUAGCGUUAUUUAAUUUAUUCUAGUAAUUUCU